This is a long non-coding RNA of Brachypodium distachyon (stiff brome), 1346 nucleotides long. RefSeq lists it as uncharacterized. The transcript is spliced from 2 exons. The record is from RefSeq and is a predicted model, not a curated record. Lineage: Eukaryota; Viridiplantae; Streptophyta; Magnoliopsida; Poales; Poaceae.
CUCUAUCUCUAUAUUUUAUAUCUAUAUUUAUAUCUGUAUCUAUCUUAUAAAGGGACCAACUUGGAAGGAAAAUAAAAUCUCAGCCGGCCAUACAUGUUAAUCGGACGGCUCGGGGUCUUUCGUUCUCCCCUCCCCCCGAAAGAUAAUCACACCACUCCUUCCAUUUCUGUCCACACACCCUCUACUUGGUUAUGCCCCUGGCAGUGUGGUGCUCGUGUAUCGCCCGCGAGUGACGCCUCAACACCAGGCGCUAUGCCCCUGUGCUCUACUCUUUGGCAACCUGGAGCCGCCGUUCAUGCCCCCGCGCGGCACCGCUGCCCCUGUCGAGCGCCGCCAUCGCCUGCUGCUGCUGCUGCUGCUGUUAACUGUUCCCCCGCCGGACGCCGACGCGAGCGCGAUGUGGUUACAGCGCUCUGCAUCGGGUUCGGCGCCGGCGCCCGCGAAGACAGCAACAGCAGCAGCGAGGCCCCGCAUGAACAGAAGCCUUCGAACCCCUAUUUACGCGGAGCUGGCCGAGCAGCAGCAGGCGCGGGUGGAGCUCGGCCGUGCGCACGCGGCAGGCCGACGCUGCCUUGCUCGAGGUGAGGUGCCCGUGGGCACGGAUCCGGAGAGCGGAUUCCCAGCUAGCAUGGGUCUUGCCGCCGGCCGAUGUUGGAAGUCGAUUUACAUCCGGCUCUCUUGAGCUGGUGUUUGCUGCCUGCGGUCCUUCAACGCCUCUUGGCAAGGGGCUCCUCCGGCUCCAUGGCUUGGCUUCAACGGCGACGGUACUGCUUUCCAGAAAAAAAGAAGAUGGUGACGACGACGGAGAAGCAGGAGCCGGCAAAGACGACGGCGACAGCGCAGGGCUAGAGCCCGAGGCAUGCAGCGGCUCGCGGCGCUAUAAAAUUAACCAAAAUCCAUCGCCGGCGCCAGUUAACAAUUAACCCAUCCAUCAUGCAUACCAUCAAGAUGGUAAAGAGCUGGCUAGACUAGAUCACUAGUUUUGCGCUAAUUAACUCAAAUUUUUCGAAGCUUGACCGUCUUUAUGUUGAUCAAAAUAUGAAACGUCUACAAUUAUCAAAUCAUUACCAACAUAUUGACCAUAAAAAUCUCCAUGAUUUAGUAUGUCAUUUUACAAAAAAAAAGAGAGCACAGAGUAUGAAGCCAUGGUGGAUAACUAGACCUUCUUCGAAACGAAGCGAUCCAAGUGCAAGCCGCAAAGGCCUACAAUAAUUGUUCCAAGCUUGACCGUCUUUAUAUUGAUCAAAAUACACGAAACGUUUACAUAAUCGUUUGUAUGGUUACAUUUUGGGCUCCCUGUUACAUUUAUCGAUAAUCGUUUGUAUGGUUACAAUAAAAAAAACAUC